AGCAGUUAAGUGCUUGGCUAAUAACCAAAAGGUUGGUGGUUCAAACCCACCAGCUGCUC
This 59-nucleotide transfer RNA is filed under the name Loxodonta africana (African savanna elephant). It matches the Rfam family "tRNA", at positions 14 to 71 of the family's 71-position model. From Rfam's summary of the family: Transfer RNA (tRNA) molecules are approximately 80 nucleotides in length. The record is from Rfam by way of RNAcentral. Lineage: Eukaryota; Metazoa; Chordata; Mammalia; Proboscidea; Elephantidae.